GAUGUACUCCCUCCGUCCGGAAAAGAUUGUCCCUCAAAUGGAUGUAUCUAGCAUUAAGUUAGUGCUAGAUACAUUCAUAUGAGGGACAAGUUUGGGAUAAAUUUUUUUGGACAAAGAGAGUACCCA
Molecule: non-coding RNA, 126 nt
Organism: Triticum urartu
Lineage: Eukaryota; Viridiplantae; Streptophyta; Magnoliopsida; Poales; Poaceae
Source: Rfam